Dermacentor andersoni is the source of this 803-nucleotide non-coding RNA. The record is from RefSeq and is a predicted model, not a curated record. NCBI's taxonomy places the organism in Eukaryota, Metazoa, Arthropoda, Arachnida, Ixodida, Ixodidae.
GGCGCUUGCGCGCAUUCUUCCUGUCUAUGGUUCGUGAAGUGUGCGUUGUUGUACGUAUCGCAAGAUCCGUACAACAACCGGAUCCGGAUUUGUAAAGCAGCAAGAAUUAUAAAUGUGCUUUUCAAAUGGUUGUUCUUCAUGUCGCAGUGCACAUUUAGCAAAAAGUUCCAUGGAAAUUGCCCUAAAACGUAUUCAUGUUACCAACAGCUCUAUCUGUGGUUUAUUUACUUUCACCUAUGAAGCACGCUAGCGCGGGUGGUUCUUUGAUCUAAAUGGGCACAAAAAUUCAAGCAAAGAAAGUUACUGUUUGUGUACAUAAUUUUUCAUUAAGAAAUGGUAUAGUCAUUUCUAGAAGUAGUACGUCGAUGUGUCGUCGUCACAGCUAACAGCUGCGCGAGAUAGCACCCGAUUUCUUCGUCGACGCAUGGCCAGAUUUUUAGCUUGGAUGGCAAGAUUUUGUGAACCAGAGGCACCUCCACAUAUGCACCUGCGGCACUUCUGCAGCCUCAACAGCACGGAAAAGUACCUGAUGUGCAUGCUGUGACAAGCUGCUGUAGGUAUGGCUGGACCUGGAGAAGAAGUGUAAGCAGACCAUGCUAUGUUGCUGAUCUGCGCUGAUCUCCACAUCCAAGUUGGUCCCGCGACAGUUGGGCACCAUUGUGCCUUGCUUCAUUGACAAGGCGAUAUAAUAUGGUGCCCUGCUCGCUCUCACCCAAGCAACCCACUCCAGCGGUCUUCUCUCGGCAGACUGGAUGCAUCGAAAUACCGUUAGAAGGUCCAAUAAACAGUGCUUUGGACAUUUA